Molecule: long non-coding RNA, 1514 nt
Filed under: Gopherus agassizii (Agassiz's desert tortoise)
Lineage: Eukaryota; Metazoa; Chordata; Testudines; Testudinidae
Description: lncRNA (ENSGAGG00000018056.1)
Source: RNAcentral
UUUUAAUAUAAUUUUAAAUGAAGCUUCUUAAACGUUUUAAAAACCUUAUUUACUUUACAUACAUCAAUAGUAUAGUUACAUAUUAUAGACUUCUAGAAAGAGACCUUCUAAAAACAUUAACAUGUAUUACUGGCACGUGAAACCUUAAAUCAGAGUGAAUAAAUGAAGACUCGGCACAGCACUUCUGAAAGGUUGCCAACCCCUGAUCUAGAUGGUAUAGUCUUCAGCACUCAUAAAAAACAAAACAGCCCAUAAACAAAACCCGGGGGUGGGGGGGGGAAUCUGUGUUUGUGACAAGUGUUUUUGAUCCAACAUGAGAUUUGUUUACAUAAGAAUGGCCAUAUUGGCUCAGACCAAUGGUCCAUCUAGCCCAGGAUCCUGUGUCUGACUGGUCAGUGCCAAUGCUUCAGAGGGAAUGAACAGAACUGGGUGGUCAUCAAGUGAUCCAGGUCCAGCUUCUGUCAGUCAGAGACCUUGCUUUAGCGGGGGAAAAACCUGAAAAUUCAGUGUUGGUUUGAAACAAACCAACUGUUUUUGGUUUGGGAAUUUUUCAGUUCCUGGAAAAAAAAUCCAGCCUGUGUCCAAAAGAGACUGCCCUGUUCUGCAGUCUGAUCAGCAGCACCCCCCGGCUCCUUGUGACUAGAUCCGGGCUGUAUUCCUGGCUCCUCAUGAAAUUGCCAGAGAUCUCUGAUGUUUGUUUCAAUAACAUACUGAUUGCUUAAAGCAGGCAAAGCACACGAUUCGGAGUUGAUUUCUUUGAUAGCAGCAGAAGCUUCCCUCUCGAAGGCCCGCGACUGGGUGCUCUUUGGAUUUGUUCCUGGAGAACUGGCUGUUUCUGGACCAGGAGGGGCACUGCAAGGUCUGCUUCACAUGCAGUGGGGGAGUUUGCCCAGCACAUACCUGCACUCAGUGGGUUCUCCCCAGUUUAAGUGCUCUGAAUUCUGAGUGCUGCCAUUUGUGGACAUCACAGCUAGCAACCGCUCAGCUUACAGGAUUCGCCUGUGGUAAGAAAAUAGCAGUUGACUCCUUCUCAAGCUCCAUCAAAGGGAGAAAUGGGCAGACAACUUCCAAAGAGCUUUGCCCUGGGAGAGGGAAUGGAGAUCUAGAGCAGUAGCCAUAAAACCACUCGGACAGAAGUCAGAUUCGCACCCUGCUCUCGGCGGGAAUGGGGCCUGUUCACCUACAGCCAUCGCUCUGUCACAGCGAGUCCUCUGUUGGCCUGUGACUUCAGCAGGGCAGUGAGUGGAGGUAGUGCUUAGGGAUUUGGCGCCAGGAGCCAUCAAUUAACCGCACUAUGAGCGUGGCUCUCACGCUGCCUUGUGGAGGUGGGUAACCAGCGGCGUGGCACAGCGGAGGAGAUUGGGGUGUGGAGAAGUUAGGUGACUUGCUCAAGGCCACAUGAGGAAGCAGUGGCACAGCUGAGCACACUGAAUCAAGCUUUCCUGAAUCCCAGCUUCCUCGCCCAUCCAUCAGUUAUCCCACGGGGUGAGUCCCUUCAUUGGACAGCAGUUCUG